This 490-nucleotide ribosomal RNA is filed under the name uncultured bacterium. Its description in RNAcentral is "partial 16S ribosomal RNA". It matches the Rfam family "Bacterial small subunit ribosomal RNA", at positions 30 to 507 of the family's 1533-position model. The record is from RNAcentral.
AUUGAACGCUGGCGGCAGGCCUAACACAUGCAAGUCGAACGGUAACAGGAAGCAGCUUGCUGCUUCGCUGACGAGUGGCGGACGGGUGAGUAAUGUCUGGGAAACUGCCUGAUGGAGGGGGAUAACUACUGGAAACGGUAGCUAAUACCGCAUAACGUCGCAAGACCAAAGAGGGGGACCUUAGGGCCUCUUGCCAUCGGAUGUGCCCAGAUGGGAUUAGCUAGUAGGUGGGGUAACGGCUCACCUAGGCGACGAUCCCUAGCUGGUCUGCGAGGAUGACCAGCCACACUGGAACUGAGACACGGUCCAGACUCCUACGGGAGGCAGCAGUGGGGAAUAUUGCACAAUGGGCGCAAGCCUGAUGCAGCCAUGCCGCGUGAAUGAAGAAGGCCUUCGGGUUGUAAAGUACUUUCAGCGGGGAGGAAGGAAGUAAAGUUAAUACCUUUGCGCAUUGACGUUACCCGCAGAAGAAGCACCGGCUAACUCCGUG